RNAcentral lists this ribosomal RNA (332 nucleotides) under uncultured bacterium. Its description in RNAcentral is "bacterial SSU rRNA". It matches the Rfam family "Bacterial small subunit ribosomal RNA", at positions 568 to 898 of the family's 1533-position model. The record is from RNAcentral.
UGCGUAGGCGGUGCGGAAAGUUGGGUGUGAAAUCCCUCGGCUCAACCGAGGAAUGGCGCUCAAAACUACCGUGCUCGAGUGAGACAGAGGUGAGUGGAACUUAGGGUGGAGCGGUGAAAUGCGUUGAUAUCCUAAGGAACACCAGUGGCGAAAGCGACUCACUGGGUCUUUUCUGACGCUGAGGCACGAAAGCUAGGGGAGCAAACGGGAUUAGAUACCCCGGUAGUCCUAGCUGUAAACGAUGAGCACUGGGUUGGAGGGUCCUCCAUAACCUUCCGGCCGUAGCGAAAGUGUUUAGUGCUCCGCCUGGGGAGUAUGGUCGCAAGGCUGAA